UCAGGCUUGCUGUCACACAUCUGUA
RNAcentral lists this non-coding RNA (25 nucleotides) under Cricetulus griseus (Chinese hamster). The record is from RNAcentral. Lineage: Eukaryota; Metazoa; Chordata; Mammalia; Rodentia; Cricetidae.